AUGGAAGUAAAAGUCGUAACAAGGUUUCCGUAGGUGAACCUGCGGAAGGAUCAUUUAAAAAAUGUGGUACCAAUUAUUGGUACUAAUUAAUCAUCCUACCCUUUGUGAAUUUGUUUGUAUGAAUUUUUUUAAAUGGGUCUUUCCCUAAGUUGGAUUGUAGUAAAAUACAAAAAGACUUAGGGGAAUGACUUUUUUAAAAGACUUUUUUUUAAUUAAAACUUUUUGUAUUCAUUUGUCUAAAAUUUAUUUUUAUAAUAUAAAACAACUUUUGACAAUGGAUCUCUUGGUUCUCGCAACGAUGAAGAACGCAGCAAAAUGCGAUAAGUAGUGUGAAUUGCAGAAUACGUGAAUCAUCGAAUCUUCGAACGCAUAUUGCACUUUUUUAGUUUACUAAAAAAGUAUGUCUGUUUGAGUAUCAGUAAAAUAUUCUCACAAACAUAUAUUGUUUGUGGUUAUGAGUGUUUUACAACGAUAAACAAGUUGUUUCACUUUAAAUUCUUUUUAAUUGAAUUUUUACCAAUUCAUAAAUUAAAAUUGGAUAAAAUUUUCCUUUAACCGAGGAAUAACCUAAACAAUUUUAAAUUUUAUGGAUUAAUAAACAUUCAUCAAAGGAAUCUAAUUAUACAUAAAUAACUUGAUCUCAAAUCAGAUAAGAGUACCCGCUGAACUUAAGCAUAUCAAUAAGCGGAGGAAAAGAAACUAACAAGGAUUCCCUUAGUAACGGCGAGUGAAGCGGGAAGAGCUCAAAUUUGAAAUCUUCAAGUUUGACCUUGACGAAUUGUAGUUUAUAGAAGUGUUUUCUGUUGGAGUUUUGGUAAAAGUUCUUUGGAAUAGGACAUCAUAGAGGGUGAGAAUCCCGUAUUUGACCAUGACUUUCCAGCUGUGUGAUACACUUUCAAAGAGUCGGAUUGUUUGGGAAUGCAGUCCAAAAUGGGUGGUAAAUUUCAUCUAAAGCUAAAUAUUGGCGAGAGACCGAUAGCGAACAAGUACCGUGAGGGAAAGAUGAAAAGAACUUUGAAAAGAGAGUUAAACAGUACGUGAAAUCGUCAAAAGGGAAGCGUUUGACACCAGUGUUGUUUUCUCGAAAAUCAAUUUAAUGAGUUCUUGUUUUUAAGUUAUUGUGACUUUAUCAGCGCACUUCUUAUUUUACUUGACUCAUUGAAUGCACUUUUCGUUUAACAAGUCAACAUCAAUUUCUUUGGUGGUGAAAAGUUUAAAGGAAGGUGGCUUGGACUUCGGUUCAAGUGUUUAUAGCCUUUUUUCUAUGCCAUCGGAGAGAUUGAGGUCUGCAGCGUAGAUCCUUCGGGGUUAGAUACCUUUGUGCUAAGUUAUAGUUUUUUAUAGACAACUUGUUGACUAUAAUUAACCCUGUAAUUUACACGCUUAGGCUACUUUACCUACGCUUAGGAUGUUGAG
Molecule: unclassified non-coding RNA, 1416 nt
Filed under: uncultured Neocallimastigales
Lineage: Eukaryota; Fungi; Neocallimastigomycota; Neocallimastigomycetes; Neocallimastigales
Description: partial contains small subunit ribosomal RNA, internal transcribed spacer 1, 5.8S ribosomal RNA, internal transcribed spacer 2, and large subunit ribosomal RNA
Rfam family: Eukaryotic large subunit ribosomal RNA (bases 636-1416)
Source: RNAcentral